Long non-coding RNA from Panicum virgatum (switchgrass), 213 nucleotides. RefSeq lists it as uncharacterized. NCBI's taxonomy places the organism in Eukaryota, Viridiplantae, Streptophyta, Magnoliopsida, Poales, Poaceae. The transcript has 2 exons. The record is from RefSeq and is a predicted model, not a curated record.
AAACCUAACAAAGAUCUUGAUCCCACCGGCAGAAGAACCAAAAAUAUUGUUUUCAGAGAUAUUCUACGGUCUUCAAAAUGAAGUGACACCGGAGUCCAUCAUAAAUGGGAUAUGAGUUGGAAAUUAAAUUCUGGCGACAUGAUGUGAAGAUUCUGCAUCAUUAAAUUUUUAUAAUAUGUAUGUUAGAUGUAGCAUUCAUAUGUGGAUUUUCUG